Ochlerotatus camptorhynchus is the source of this 371-nucleotide long non-coding RNA. RefSeq lists it as uncharacterized. The record is from RefSeq and is a predicted model, not a curated record. The transcript has 4 exons. Lineage: Eukaryota; Metazoa; Arthropoda; Insecta; Diptera; Culicidae.
GGUCACUUUGGUCGUGGUAUCAGCAGCAUCGAUAUCGUAAAAUUUGAACGGGGACUUUAUUCUCAUUCGAUUAAGUCGGAAGCUGCAAAAAGAUAUCCACCCGAUCGGAUGGCAUCGCAGCAAGGAAUUGCUUGAAUUCACUUGUUUUGUGAUUCCGCGUUCAUCGAAAGCCCGAGGAAGGCAAGGGACGCACGGAGGUCACACCGGAGACAUUCCUUAAGCCACUCCAAUUUCCCACAGUGAAGUUGUGACCAAUCCAAUAGAAAGGUAAGCUGUUGUUCGUAACUUAAAAAUUUGCAUGAUUAAAUAUAAUUGUUACUAUUAAGAAGCCUUAAGAUUCGCAACGGUAUUCAAAUACAUAUUUGCGCAGU